CUUUCCCAUCAACUCAUAUUUCUCUGAGAGAGAUCAUCACUCAGUGGAAAAAGGAUUUCUCACAACUUCCGAAACAAAAGAGAGGCAUUCCAGCAAAGCUCAGAAUUCCUGACCCCAAGAGCAGUUCUGAGAGCUCAGAGGAGGAGGAGGAGGAAGCAGCACAAACCAUACAAACUCAUCUGAGUGUGAAUAACAGCACCAAGCCAACAAAGACGGUAACUAAAGAAGAGAGUAGUAGCAGCGAAGAUUCAGAUUCAUCUUCUGAAGAGGAAGAGGAAGCAGUUGCCAAAAAGACUG
Molecule: long non-coding RNA, 297 nt
Filed under: Notechis scutatus (mainland tiger snake)
Lineage: Eukaryota; Metazoa; Chordata; Lepidosauria; Squamata; Elapidae
Description: lncRNA (ENSNSUG00000017170.1)
Source: RNAcentral